Molecule: ribosomal RNA, 1026 nt
Filed under: Petrakia deviata
Lineage: Eukaryota; Fungi; Ascomycota; Dothideomycetes; Pleosporales; Melanommataceae
Description: SSU rRNA
Rfam family: Eukaryotic small subunit ribosomal RNA
Source: RNAcentral
AUUAUACCGUGAAACUGCGAAUGGCUCAUUAAAUCAGUUAUCGUUUAUUUGAUAGUACCUUACCACUUGGAUAACCGUGGUAAUUCUAGAGCUAAUACAUGCUAAAAACCCCGACUUCGGAAGGGGUGUGUUUAUUAGAUAAAAAACCAAUGCCCUUCGGGGCUCUUUGGUGAUUCAUGAUAACCUAACGGAUCGCAUGGCCUUGCGCCGGCGACGGUUCAUUCAAAUUUCUGCCCUAUCAACUUUCGAUGGUAAGGUAUUGGCUUACCAUGGUUUCAACGGGUAACGGGGAAUUAGGGUUCGAUUCCGGAGAGGGAGCCUGAGAAACGGCUACCACAUCCAAGGAAGGCAGCAGGCGCGCAAAUUACCCAAUCCCGACACGGGGAGGUAGUGACAAUAAAUACUGAUACAGGGCUCUUUUGGGUCUUGUAAUUGGAAUGAGUACAAUUUAAACCCCUUAACGAGGAACAAUUGGAGGGCAAGUCUGGUGCCAGCAGCCGCGGUAAUUCCAGCUCCAAUAGCGUAUAUUAAAGUUGUUGCAGUUAAAAAGCUCGUAGUUGAAACUUGGGUCUGGCUAGCGGGUCCGCCUCACCGCGUGCACUUGUCCGGCUGGACCUUUCCUUCUGGAGAACCUCAUGCCCUUCACUGGGUGUGUUGGGGAACCAGGACUUUUACUUUGAAAAAAUUAGAGUGUUCAAAGCAGGCCUUUGCUCGAAUACGUUAGCAUGGAAUAAUAGAAUAGGACGUGCGGUCCUAUUUUGUUGGUUUCUAGGAUCGCCGUAAUGAUUAAUAGGGAUAGUCGGGGGCAUCAGUAUUCAAUUGUCAGAGGUGAAAUUCUUGGAUUUAUUGAAGACUAACUACUGCGAAAGCAUUUGCCAAGGAUGUUUUCAUUAAUCAGUGAACGAAAGUUAGGGGAUCGAAGACGAUCAGAUACCGUCGUAGUCUUAACCGUAAACUAUGCCGACUAGGGAUCGGGCGAUGUUUCUAUCUUGRCUCGCUCGGCACYUUACGAGAAAUCAAAGUUUU